RNAcentral lists this long non-coding RNA (233 nucleotides) under Elaeis guineensis (African oil palm). RNAcentral's name for it is "long non-coding RNA (EGUI_LNC074615)". Lineage: Eukaryota; Viridiplantae; Streptophyta; Magnoliopsida; Arecales; Arecaceae. The record is from RNAcentral.
UACCAACUACUUCCACACCAAUAUUAGAAGACCAGUGAUCCCCGUGAAUCCGGCUAUUUGUUGGGAUGCUUCGGAGACGGGUCACUUACGUCCGCCACCUUCAUGAUUGAACCACCAAGGUCCUCAAGUACUCUACUAUGCAUGGACUUGUUAGAUACUUAUGACCUGACCAAGAGGGCGUUGGCGGUGUCACGCCCACGUGGUGGGACCAGAACCACAAUAAAAAAAAAAAA